This 2903-nucleotide ribosomal RNA is filed under the name Proteus appendicitidis. Its description in RNAcentral is "Proteus sp. HZ0627 23S ribosomal RNA". It matches the Rfam family "Bacterial large subunit ribosomal RNA". The record is from RNAcentral. Lineage: Bacteria; Pseudomonadati; Pseudomonadota; Gammaproteobacteria; Enterobacterales; Morganellaceae.
GGUUAAGCGAAUAAGCGUACACGGUGGAUGCCUAGGCAAUCAGAGGCGAUGAAGGACGUGCUAAUCUGCGAUAAGCGUCGGUAAGGUGAUAUGAACCGUUAUACCCGACGAUUUCCGAAUGGGGAAACCCAAUAUCCAAUGGAUAUUAUCAUUAACUGAAUACAUAGGUUAAUGAAGCGAACCGGGAGAACUGAAACAUCUCAGUACCCCGAGGAAAAGAAAUCAACCGAGAUUCCCCUAGUAGCGGCGAGCGAACGGGGAACAGCCCAGAGUCUUAAUCAACAGCAGCAUCAGGAGAACGGUCUGGAAAGUCCGGCAGUAAAGGGUGAUAGCCCCGUAUCUGAAGAUGCUGUUAUUGUGAACUCGACGAGUAGGGCGGGACACGUGUUAUCCUGUCUGAAUAUGGGGGGACCAUCCUCCAAGGCUAAAUACUCCUGAUUGACCGAUAGUGAACCAGUACCGUGAGGGAAAGGCGAAAAGAACCCCGGCGAGGGGAGUGAAAAAGAACCUGAAACCGUGUACGUACAAGCAGUAGGAGCCUCUUCGUGAGGUGACUGCGUACCUUUUGUAUAAUGGGUCAGCGACUUAUAUUCUGUAGCAAGGUUAACCGUAUAGGGGAGCCGUAGGGAAACCGAGUCUUAACUGGGCGAAUGAGUUGCAGGGUAUAGACCCGAAACCCGGUGAUCUAUCCAUGGGCAGGUUGAAGGUUGGGUAACACUAACUGGAGGACCGAACCGACUAAUGUUGAAAAAUUAGCGGAUGACUUGUGGAUGGGGGUGAAAGGCCAAUCAAACCGGGAGAUAGCUGGUUCUCCCCGAAAGCUAUUUAGGUAGCGCCUCGUGAAUUCAUCUUCGGGGGUAGAGCACUGUUUCGACUAGGGGGUCAUCCCGACUUACCAACUCGAUGCAAACUGCGAAUACCGAAGAAUGUUAUCACGGGAGACACACGGCGGGUGCUAACGUCCGUCGUGAAGAGGGAAACAACCCAGACCGCCAGCUAAGGUCCCAAAGUCAUGGUUAAGUGGGAAACGAAGUGGGAAGGCUCAGACAGCCAGGAUGUUGGCUUAGAAGCAGCCAUCAUUUAAAGAAAGCGUAAUAGCUCACUGGUCGAGUCGGCCCGCGCGGAAGAUGUAACGGGGCUAAACCAUGCACCGAAGCUGCGGCAGCGACACUAUGUGUUGUUGGGUAGGGGAGCGUUCUGUAAGCCUGCGAAGGUGUACUGUGAGGUAUGCUGGAGGUAUCAGAAGUGCGAAUGCUGACAUAAGUAACGAUAAUGCGGGUGAAAAACCCGCACGCCGGAAGACCAAGGGUUCCUGUCCAACGUUAAUCGGGGCAGGGUGAGUCGACCCCUAAGGCGAGGCUGAAAAGCGUAGUCGAUGGGAAACGGGUUAAUAUUCCCGUACUGGUGGUAACUGCGAUGGGGGAACGGAGAAGGCUAGGUUGUCCGGGCGACGGUCGUCCCGGUUCAAGCAUGUAGGCAGAGUGAUUAGGCAAAUCCGGUCACUUAAUGCUGAGGUGUGAUGACGAGCCACUAAGGUGGUGAAGCAAUUGAUGCCCUGCUUCCAGGAAAAGCCUCUAAGCUUCAGGUUACCAACAAUCGUACCCCAAACCGACACAGGUGGUCAGGUAGAGAAUACUCAGGCGCUUGAGAGAACUCGGGUGAAGGAACUAGGCAAAAUGGUGCCGUAACUUCGGGAGAAGGCACGCUGGCGGUAAGUGAAGUCCCUUGCGGACGGAGCCGAAGCCAGUCGAAGAUACCAGCUGGCUGCAACUGUUUAUUAAAAACACAGCACUGUGCAAACACGAAAGUGGACGUAUACGGUGUGACGCCUGCCCGGUGCUGGAAGGUUAAUUGAUGGGGUUAUCCUUAGGGAGAAGCUCUUGAUCGAAGCCCCAGUAAACGGCGGCCGUAACUAUAACGGUCCUAAGGUAGCGAAAUUCCUUGUCGGGUAAGUUCCGACCUGCACGAAUGGCGUAAUGAUGGCCAGGCUGUCUCCACCCGAGACUCAGUGAAAUUGAACUCGCUGUGAAGAUGCAGUGUACCCGCGGCAAGACGGAAAGACCCCGUGAACCUUUACUAUAGCUUGACACUGAACAUUGAGCCUUGAUGUGUAGGAUAGGUGGGAGACUAUGAAGUGUGGACGCCAGUCUGCAUGGAGUCAACCUUGAAAUACCACCCUUUAACGUUUGAUGUUCUAACCUAGGCCCAUAAUCUGGGUCGGGGACCGUGUCUGGUGGGUAGUUUGACUGGGGCGGUCUCCUCCUAAAGAGUAACGGAGGAGCACGAAGGUUGGCUAAGCAUGGUCGGACAUCAUGCGGUUAGUGCAAAGGCAUAAGCCAGCUUGACUGUGAGAGUGACGGCUCGAGCAGGUACGAAAGUAGGUCUUAGUGAUCCGGUGGUUCUGAAUGGAAGGGCCAUCGCUCAACGGAUAAAAGGUACUCCGGGGAUAACAGGCUGAUACCGCCCAAGAGUUCAUAUCGACGGCGGUGUUUGGCACCUCGAUGUCGGCUCAUCACAUCCUGGGGCUGAAGUAGGUCCCAAGGGUAUGGCUGUUCGCCAUUUAAAGUGGUACGCGAGCUGGGUUUAGAACGUCGUGAGACAGUUCGGUCCCUAUCUGCCGUGGGCGUUGGAAGAUUGAGAGGGGUUGCUCCUAGUACGAGAGGACCGGAGUGAACGCACCACUGGUGUUCGGGUUGUCAUGCCAAUGGCAUUGCCCGGUAGCUAAGUGCGGAAGAGAUAACCGCUGAAAGCAUCUAAGCGGGAAACUUGCCUCGAGAUGAGUCUUCCCUGUCACCUAGAGUGACCUAAAGGAACGUUUAAGACUAAGACGUUGAUAGGCUGGGUGUGUAAGCGUAGCGAUACGUUGAGCUAACCAGUACUAAUGAACCGUGAGGCUUAACCUG